GGCACCUGAUCAGCCAUCCCGCGUGUGCGAUGACGGCCUUCGGGUUGUAAAGCUCUUUUGGCAGGGAAGAAACGGCUCUGGAUAAUACCUGGGGCAACGGACGGUACCUGCAGAAUAAGCACCGGCUAACUACGUGCCAGCAGCCGCGGUAAU
Molecule: ribosomal RNA, 153 nt
Filed under: uncultured bacterium
Lineage: Bacteria
Description: partial 16S ribosomal RNA
Rfam family: Bacterial small subunit ribosomal RNA
Source: RNAcentral